This is a non-coding RNA of Microtus oregoni (creeping vole), 396 nucleotides long. The record is from the annotation of a RefSeq genome assembly. Lineage: Eukaryota; Metazoa; Chordata; Mammalia; Rodentia; Cricetidae.
AUGGUGUCCACAUCUCAGUUUCUUCAGCUUCUGCUCUUCUGUGUUUCAGCCUCUAGAGGUGACAUUGUGCUGACUCAGUCUCCAGCCACCCUGUCUGUGAUUCCAGGAGAUAAAGUCAUUCUGACCUGCAGGGCAAGCCAGGGUAUUAACAGUAACUUACACUGGUAUCAGAAAAAGACAAAUGAGGCUCCAAAGCUUCUCAUCAAGUAUGCUUCCCAGUCCAUCUCUGGGAUACCCUCCAGGUUCAGUGGCAGUGUAUUGGGGACAGAUUUCACCCUCAGCAUCAACAAUUUGGAGCCUGAAGAUAUUGCAGUUUAUUACUGUCAGCAUGAUUACAGCUGGCAUCCCACAGUGAUACAGACCAUAGCAAAAACCACCAGGGAAAAAGAAAUCUAA